AUAAAGUUCCUUUGGGUAAGAAGUACUACUUGUCAUCAAAAUGGAUAAAAGGAGAUGUAUCUAGACAUAUUUUAGUUCUAUAUACGUCCUUUUUUAUCCAUUUUGAUGACAAGUAUUUUCGGACGGAGGGAGCUUAUA
Non-coding RNA from Triticum aestivum (bread wheat), 138 nucleotides. The record is from Rfam. NCBI's taxonomy places the organism in Eukaryota, Viridiplantae, Streptophyta, Magnoliopsida, Poales, Poaceae.